AACUAUGCCUGAGCGGGGUAA
This 21-nucleotide small nuclear RNA is filed under the name Arabidopsis thaliana (thale cress). RNAcentral's name for it is "snRNA_18992". Lineage: Eukaryota; Viridiplantae; Streptophyta; Magnoliopsida; Brassicales; Brassicaceae. The record is from RNAcentral.